UACGGAGGGUGCAAGCGUUAUCCGGAUUCACUGGGUUUAAAGGGUGCGUAGGCGGGUAUGUAAGUCAGGGGUGAAAUCUUGGAGCUUAACUCCGAAACUGCCAUUGAUACUAUGUAUCUUGAAUAUCGUUGAGGUUUGCGGAAUAUGUCAUGUAGCGGUGAAAUGCUUAGAUAUGACAUAGAACACCAAUUGCGAAGGCAGCAGGCUAAACGAACAUUGACGCUGAGGCACGAAAGCGUGGGGAUCAAACAGG
RNAcentral lists this ribosomal RNA (253 nucleotides) under uncultured bacterium. RNAcentral describes it as "partial 16S ribosomal RNA". It matches the Rfam family "Bacterial small subunit ribosomal RNA", at positions 524 to 776 of the family's 1533-position model. The record is from RNAcentral.